ACCAGCGGCGGUAGCACGUUAAACGCACCAGAUCCAAAUGGAUCACUAAAGUUAAGUAACGUUUCGCGUGAUUAAUAUGUAUCUGGAUGGGCGACCAUUUGAACAGUCUCAUAUUGCUGGCU
Molecule: ribosomal RNA, 122 nt
Filed under: Diaphorina citri (Asian citrus psyllid)
Lineage: Eukaryota; Metazoa; Arthropoda; Insecta; Hemiptera; Psyllidae
Source: RNAcentral